CUUGCUGCUUUGCUGACGAGUGGCGGACGGGUGAGUAAUGUCUGGGAAACUGCCUGAUGGAGGGGGAUAACUACUGGAAACGGUAGCUAAUACCGCAUAACGUCGCAAGACCAAAGAGGGGGACCUUCGGGCCUCUUGCCAUCGGAUGUGCCCAGAUGGGAUUAGCUAGUAGGUGGGGUAACGGCUCACCUAGGCGACGAUCCCUAGCUGGUCUGAGAGGAUGACCAGCCACACUGGAACUGAGACACGGUCCAGACUCCUACGGGAGGCAGCAGUGGGGAAUAUUGCACAAUGGGCGCAAGCCUGAUGCAGCCAUGCCGCGUGUAUGAAGAAGGCCUUCGGGUUGUAAAGUACUUUCAGCGGGGAGGAAGGCGAUAAGGUUAAUAACCUUGGCGAUUGACGUUACCCGCAGAAGAAGCACCGGCUAACUCCGUGCCAGCAGCCGCGGUAAUACGGAGGGUGCAAGCGUUAAUCGGAAUUACUGGGCGUAAAGCGCACGCAGGCGGUCUGUCAAGUCGGAUGUGAAAUCCCCGGGCUCAACCUGGGAACUGCAUUCGAAACUGGCAGGCUAGAGUCUUGUAGAGGGGGGUAGAAUUCCAGGUGUAGCGGUGAAAUGCGUAGAGAUCUGGAG
RNAcentral lists this ribosomal RNA (631 nucleotides) under Enterobacter sp. sed221. Its description in RNAcentral is "bacterial SSU rRNA". It matches the Rfam family "Bacterial small subunit ribosomal RNA", at positions 79 to 703 of the family's 1533-position model. Lineage: Bacteria; Pseudomonadati; Pseudomonadota; Gammaproteobacteria; Enterobacterales; Enterobacteriaceae. The record is from RNAcentral.